CCCUUAGAUGUUCUGGGCUGCACGCGCGCUACACUGAAGCGUUCAACGAGUAUUCACCUUGCCCGGGAGGGUUGGGUAAUCUUUUGAAAACGCUUCGUGAUGGGGAUAGAUUAUUGCAAUUAUUAAUCUUCAACGAGGAAUUCCUAGUAAACGCAAGUCAUCAGCUUGCAUUGAUUACGUCCCUGCCCUUUGUACACACCGCCCGUCGCACCUACCGAUUGAAUGGUCCGGUGAAAUCUUCGGAUCUGAGAGAUGUCUGAUUAAUUUCGGACGCCUUUUGGAAAAGUUGCUUAAACCUUACCAUUUAGAGGAAGGUGAAGUCGUAACA
Molecule: ribosomal RNA, 328 nt
Filed under: uncultured eukaryote
Lineage: Eukaryota
Description: partial 18S ribosomal RNA
Rfam family: Eukaryotic small subunit ribosomal RNA
Source: RNAcentral